CUAGGAGGGUUAGUUAUGAUGUUAAUAGAUGCGUAUUGUUAGUUAGUUUGUUGCUUAGUGUGCAAGUAACACAUUUGUAUAUAACUAGCAAUGUAACACUCCUUAUGUAAUGCAAUUAGAAACUUUCCCUUAACUUUCUCUUUCAAUUUCUCCUAACUCUUUACUCACUUUUCUUCACCAUUCUCUCUAAGAACUCUAAGAGACAUGAGUCUUAGUGAGAAUAUUAAUGUAAAUAAAGUUGAUUUGUAUCUCAUGGAGGGUUUGGAGAAGAAAAGUACUACUUUUGACAUCUGGAACUGGUGGAAGGUAAAUUCCACCAAAUAUCCUACUCUUGGCCAAAUUGCUAGAGAUGUGAUGGCCAUGCCUGUGUAUACUGUUGCUUCUGAGUCAGCUUUCAGCACUUGAGGGAGAGUGCUAAAUUGUUAUAGGAGCUCUCUUAACCAAAGAAAAUUGAAGCUUUCGUUUAUGCCUAAAACUGGUGUCAAUCCACCCCAAUUGCUUCAGGUGUCGAGGAUCUUUUGGAGGACUUAGAAAAGCUGGAACUAGAUCUUGCCACAAUCACACAAUUGACUGAGAAGAUAUCAGAUAUCGACUCUGAUUAAUUGUUGGCUUGCUGCACUAGUCAAUAGUUAUGUGAGAAAAUCAUGAAGUUUUGAAGGCUAUACCGUAAAAUUAGAGAAUUGCCUUGUUUAAAUUUGGAUCGAAUGCAUUGUUUUUGGAUUAAAUGCCUAGUAGCAGACUUUGUUUAGCAGAAUUUGGAUUGUUUUAUGGUUUAAUUUGAUAUAUGGUAUAAUCGUAUUAACUAUAUAUUAAGAUUAAGACAUCCUGUCCUAAAUUAUGCAUCAGUAGAUGUGAUUGUAAUAUUUUUC
This is a long non-coding RNA of Trifolium pratense (red clover), 869 nucleotides long. RefSeq lists it as uncharacterized. NCBI's taxonomy places the organism in Eukaryota, Viridiplantae, Streptophyta, Magnoliopsida, Fabales, Fabaceae. The record is from RefSeq and is a predicted model, not a curated record. The transcript has 3 exons.